UAGAUAGUUGUUAGUGGCAGACGGGUGAGUAAUGCGUAGGAAUCUACCUAGUAGUAUGGAAUAGCCAUUAGAAAUGAUGGGUAAUACUGUAUAAUCCCUGCGGGGGAAAGAUUUAUCGCUAUUAGAUGAGCCUACGUUAGAUUAGCUAGUUGGUAAGGUAAUGGCUUACCAAGGCUAUGAUCUAUAGCUGGUCUGAGAGGACGAUCAGCCACACUGGAACUGAGAUACGGUCCAGACUCCUACGGGAGGCAGCAGUGGGGAAUAUUGGACAAUGGGCGAAAGCCUGAUCCAGCUAUGCCGCGUGAGUG
Molecule: ribosomal RNA, 308 nt
Filed under: Ehrlichia ewingii
Lineage: Bacteria; Pseudomonadati; Pseudomonadota; Alphaproteobacteria; Rickettsiales; Anaplasmataceae
Description: bacterial SSU rRNA
Rfam family: Bacterial small subunit ribosomal RNA
Source: RNAcentral